UGAGGAAUUUUGCGCAAUGGGGGAAACCCUGACGCAGCAACGCCGCGUGAGUGAUGAAGGCCUUCGGUCGUAAAGCUCUGUCAAGUGGGAAGAAUCUGCCCGGCGAUAAUACCGCUGGGCAAUGACGGUACCGCUGAAGGAAGCACCGGCUAACUCUGUGCC
RNAcentral lists this ribosomal RNA (162 nucleotides) under uncultured bacterium. RNAcentral's name for it is "partial 16S ribosomal RNA". It matches the Rfam family "Bacterial small subunit ribosomal RNA", at positions 355 to 509 of the family's 1533-position model. The record is from RNAcentral.